UGCGUCCCAGAGCUUGAUGCCUUGUUCAGAUUAGUUAUGGACCCAGGAGGUGGGAUGCCUGAUGGUCAACAUAACCGUACCAAAAAAGAAAAGAUGACCCACUUGUCAUCUCCCAAAACCAGAGAGUUCUCAUGGCUAUAAAAGCAGAAAGUGGAACUAAAGGUUAAAGAUAAAUGCUGAGUUUAACCACCAAUACAACUACUGUUGCCUUAAGGACUCACUUCGGAAGGCAGCGGUUGGAUCACUCUGUUUUGGAGACUUGAUUUCAGAAAUUCCACACCUCUGAUACCAGCGGGAGCAUCUGGAGCAAUGAAGACUUUCUCUCAGUAGAGAUUAUCAGAACAUUUAAAUAAAUUGGACAAGAGCAAGUCCAUGGGAACCAAUGGGCUACAUCCACACGUGCUGAGGACAGACACCAUUUCAAGGACACUCAAGUAUCUUUGAAAGGUCACAGUAUCAGAGGAGGUUUCUGAGGUCUGGAAGAAACAGAGCCUGCUCAGAUCAACAGAAAGAAGCAAACAAGUUCCAUUUGGGAGUGCCUGCUGAUCUGUUCUCCCAGUAGGAGCUGCCAUCCUGUUCAAGAAGUCACUGGUGGACCAUAUCAACCAGAUCACUUUUUGUCCACAUGCUUGCUGACCAAGUCAAAAAGCACUUGAGAGGCCUGGAAGUGCACACAGAAAUCUCAGCAGGACUCGGAGCCAAACCAACACAUGUAGAAGUUCCCCACCAUAAAGAGAGAAGAUGCAGAG
Molecule: long non-coding RNA, 749 nt
Organism: Gallus gallus (chicken)
Lineage: Eukaryota; Metazoa; Chordata; Aves; Galliformes; Phasianidae
Source: Ensembl